This is a non-coding RNA of Bradyrhizobium sp., 53 nucleotides long. NCBI's taxonomy places the organism in Bacteria, Pseudomonadati, Pseudomonadota, Alphaproteobacteria, Hyphomicrobiales, Nitrobacteraceae. The record is from Rfam.
CCGCGGGACACCUCCCCCCAACGGGAGGCUUACUAUCUGGAAGGGUAGAUCAU